This is a long non-coding RNA of Heterocephalus glaber (naked mole-rat), 1797 nucleotides long. The record is from Ensembl. NCBI's taxonomy places the organism in Eukaryota, Metazoa, Chordata, Mammalia, Rodentia, Bathyergidae.
GUAAGUAAAACUUUCUAUCUUGUUAAAGUCCUCAUAAAGCGGAUGAGUGGCUUUCUCAGUUUUGGGAGAGCAGUGAUCUGUCCCCACGGUAUCGGUGUGUAGCUACCUCUAUUCAACUGACUGAAGUGGUUAUUUAGAUGAUUCUUUGCACCUCAUGGCUCUCCAAGGUGACAGGACAUCACCACAUUGACCAGAAGCGACUUCUCAGCUGUGAAUUGUUUCGCACUUGAAGUUCUUCCUCACAGACACCCUGUUUGAGUGCUCAGUGAUCCAGGCACUUGACCCUACAGCCAAGAGAGAGGGAAGACUACUUACUGGUCUAGCUGGCAGCAGACCCUGGCCUCGUCCACAUGAUGCUUUUAGGUGCAUGCAGAAUGCAAGAGUUGUGGGGUCAGGAAGGCUUCCACUCAGAUUUCAGAAGGUCUGGGAGGCCAGGCAGGGUGCCCGUGAGAAGGCAGACUGUGAAGUUGUGAGUGUGAAAAGCCAAAGGUGCAGUGGAGACCCCAGAAGUUUGGGGAAGCCAGGAGUGUGGUUCAUCUGAGGAAAGCUGCAAGGAGGGAGCAGAACCUGCCCAAAAGAGAAGCUGUGGGAGCUACAAACAUCUACAGGCUGUAGGGGCAGAGUCACCCAAGUCCUUUGGAGUUCACAUCUUGCCACAGAUUGCCUUGGAUGCCGCACUGGGAACUACAGGAUUUAAUAUUUGCCCUGCUGGAUUUUGGACUUGCUUUGGUCCAGUUUCUUUGUAUUCCCAUUUGUACCUUUUGGAAUGUUAAUGUUUAUAUUGUGCCAUUGAAUGUCGGAAGUGUUUGACUUUCUUUUCAUUUGUACAAGGGCUUGCAGCUAAGAGUUUGCCUUAAAUUUCAGAGAAGACUUUAGACUUGGACUUUUCAGCAGUGCUGAAAUUAUUAGGAUUUAGGCAACUCUCGGAGAUGGACUAAAUGCCUUUUGCAUAAAGGGAUGUGCAUGAGUCUUUUCGGGGCCAGGGGCGGACUAUUACAGCUUAGGGUUAGAUGUCCCCCCCAAAGCCUCAGGCUUUUUCAGAGGUGGGUGAAUCUAGAGCGUGUGAUUGACUCAUGGUGGGGCCACCCUGCGGGCACUAGGGUUAAGGGCGUGAGUGCUGCCCACCCUAAGUAGUCUGAAUAACAUAAAAGGGGCAGAAAGACGCUGUUGAGGUCCCUUGUUGCUUUUGCUACUACCGUGUGGGCGCCAGGAACUGCUUCUCCUCUGUGACGCCCCUCCGCCAUGUGCCACUCUGCCUUGGAGCCAGCCAACUAUGGACUGAAACCUCUAUGAACUAUAAGCCAAUAAACCUUUCCCCCUCUAACUGUGGGUAUUGGGUAUUUUGUCUCAGCAAUGAGAAAAAAGUAACUAAGAAAUCCCUUAUCUCAUUUUUAUGUCUAGUACAGUGUUUGGCAUGUAUUUAGUAAAUAAUUCUUGAAUGAUGACCAAGUUACCUUUAUACUCAAAGCCAACUGAGGGAAAUUUUAUAGAAUAACAACAAAAAGAAAAGUGAUCUUUUCACAUUGCCUAAUAUAUUUAUGGAACCAAUUUUCAUGAAAGAUAGCAUAGGCCAAACAUACAGGAGUCCAAAGUAUUUAGAGAAAUUAAAAGAUAAUAGGCUUAUACAUUCAAAUAAAUUGUUUGGUAUAGCCCAAAUCCCUGAAAUAAACAUCAGGGAAAACAAGAACCACAUUGUCUCACUACAUUCCUAAUAGAGCUAUAAUCAGAGAAUGAAUAUUGAACUACAGGCAUAUGUACUUUUCUAAAAAUACAGUGCAGCAACAAAACUUUCCUAAC